This 29191-nucleotide long non-coding RNA is filed under the name Homo sapiens (human). RNAcentral's name for it is "HSALNT0326784". Lineage: Eukaryota; Metazoa; Chordata; Mammalia; Primates; Hominidae. The record is from RNAcentral.
AGCCCAAUUGCUAACUACAAGUAGGGUAGUCUGUCCUCAGAGUGCUUGUAAAUGCAUGGCAGGACUGCUACUGGGCCACCUGGGUCCCUGUCAAUGACUUGUGCUUCAGCCUUGGAGGCAGCAGCACCCCGCUUUCAGCAGAGGAUGUCUGUGGGGCUCCAGGUAUGCGGAGUUGCAGGGGUUGCUGGGCCUCAGGGCAGGAUGUAGUCUGCUGGGGACUGGGCUCUCAAAAUGGCGUCUUGCUGUGGCUGCUUAGGGCUCAGGGGAUGUGUGGGACCUAGCGUGAGUUUCCCCCUGGAGCAAUGCCAUCUGUGAUCUCCAGGACGCUCCCUAUGUUAGUCACAGGGCUUGUGUGGGUCGAGGGGCUCUCGUAGGGCUGGGAUUGCAGUAGUCCAUGAUGGGAAUGCAGACCGCUGUGGGUAAGUCAUUUACUCUUUCCUCACACUGGGGAGCCUCUCCAGGCUCCCAGCCAGUCCUGGCAGACUGUCUCUCUUACCGCUUGCGCUCCUUCCUCACCUCAGGUGUUUUCUGUCACUUCUCCGUUAAAUCCAGUGUUCUCUUUUUGGUGGUGUAUUAAACGUGUGAUUAUGCGCUGUUUCACUUCUUGAUGGAGGAGGCAAGGACCAGAUGCCUCUAGUUAGCCAUCUUGGAGCCCCUCCAAGGCCCUACUUGUCAAUAUCAUUACAACAGGGAAUACGUUUUAAUCUAAACUGUGGAGGAAGUGCAUUCAAACCAUAACAUUGUACUUUACAAAAUGAAUAAAUUAAUUUGUGGGAAAAUGGCCUUUUAUCAGAGUUUGAGAUGCGUCCUCUAGAGGAGUCUAGCACCGCUGGGAAAUCAGUCCAGAGGCAUUUCGACAGUUGGGAUAUGAAAAAAAGGAAAAUUUCCUAAAGAAGAUGUCGAUUUCCAAUGCAUUUAAAAACAACCACAAGAAGAAGCCACUGAUUAACAAAGUUAUCUAACAAUGGCAGUGAGGGAGAGCAACACCUUGACAGCGUUUUCAUGGUGUCUCAGAAGGGGAAAGAUUACGGACAGAUGUUUAUAGGAUUUGUGGUCUUGCAUCAAAUGCUUUGAGGCAGCUCUCUGAAGGCCAGGAUUUAUGGGGCUUAGACAAAAUUUAUUAUAUAGCAGUUUAGGAUUGAUGGAUACAGCCAAGGUGAGUGUCUUGAAGCUACCUGAUUCAGUAAACAGUGGUUGCUUAAGCAAGCUGUUUCCCCAGGUGAGCAACCUGUUGUCUGAAUAAAUUGGUUUUCAGGAAUUUCCGGAAGGAAACAGCAAUUUAUUGUUAGACAGAAUUAUUUUCCUGGGCUAGAAUUUCCUGGAACAAAUAGUCAAUUCUUGUUGACGUUUAAGUGGUCUCAGUUUUCAGUAUCGAUGAGUUAACCCACAGGAGGAAGCGGGAGACUCAUUUCUCGGUUCUCUGUGUGAUCAUUCUUCAGCUGUGAUGGAGGAUAGCCAUUACCAUGUGGGGACUUGAUCCAUCUGAAUCUGCACUGUACUUUGUGGUGUGAUCAUGAAUCAGGUUUCCUGGUAGGCAAUUUUCCUGCUUUUUGUCGGAUAGACAUUUGGUUGGAUGAUUUGACAGUGCUAUGGCUGCGCAGCAGCAUUUUUAAGACUGAGUUCAUGCAUUUGAGCGCUGUAACACAGAGUGAUGCUACAGUGAGGAGUCAUGGUGAGACUUCUAUGCCAGGAGCCAAGAGUGUCCAGAUUAAAACAAGAGAACAGAUCCCAUCCCUAAUUUGAAGAGCCAGAGUAGCCAUACUCAGCGGAGGGGGAUUAAUAUCCAAAUUGCCUAAUUUUAGGGUCUCUUUGUUUGCUGCACAAUCUUACAAGAUUAAGCCAGGGUCAGCAAGCAAUUGCCAGCAGGCCAAAUCUGCUCUCUUACCAUCUGUUUUGUAAAUAAAGUUUUAUUGGAACAUAUGGCUAUGCUCUGCUGACCCUAAUGAUAUUUCUAAUUUUUUUUAAGGUGUAAGCUGAAGUUAUUAAUUUGAGACCUUAUUUCCAUUUUUUUGUUUUUGUUUUUGUUUUUGUCUUUUUUAAGACGGAGUCUCACUUUGUCACCCAGGCUGGAGUGCAAUGGCACAAUCUCGGCUCACUGCAACCUGCACCUCCUGUGUUCAAGUGAUUCUCCUGUCUCAGCCUCCCGAGUAGCUGGGAUUAUAGGUGUGCACCACCACGCCGGGCUAAUUUUUGUGUUUUUAGUAGAGACAGGCUUUCACCAUGUUGGCCAGGCUGGUCUUGAACUCCUGACCUCAAGUGAUUCACCUCCCACUCGGCCUUCCAAAGUGCUGGGAUUACAGGCAUGAACCACCACACCUGGUCAAGACCUUGUAUCCUAAUAUUAGACUUUCUCUAUUUUUAAGCAAUUUGUUGACCUUCUUGAAUCUGUGGUUUUCAUAAACUUUGGGAGAUUUUUGGCCAUUAUUUUUUCAAAUAUUUUUUUCCAACAUAUCCCUCAUUUCCUUCAGGGACUGCAAUUUACGCAUUAGUUUGAAGUUGUCCCAUAACUCACUGACACACUUCUGUUUCUCAUUUUGUGUACUUUUUAUCUCUCAAUUCUUAAAGUCACUAGUCUUCUGAAAUUUCCAAUUUGCCUUUAAUUCUACUCAGUGUGUUUUUCAUCUCACAUAAUGUUUUCAUCUCUAAAGUUUGAUUUUUAGUCUUUUUAUAUCUUCCAUGUUUCUGCUUACCAUGUUCAGUCUUUCCUCUGGCUUCUUGAACAUGCGAAGUACAAUUACAGUUCUUCUAAUGUCUUUGCCGAUUCUAUCAUCUUUGUCAUUUCUGGGUUAGUUUCAAAUGACUGAUUUUUCUCUUCAUUAUGGGUCAUAUUUUUGUGGACAGUUUUUGGAUCCUUUUGUAUUUCUAUAAAUACUUUUGAACUUUGUUCUAGAACACACUUAAAAUUACUUGCAAAUAGUUUGACCCUUUAUCUUAAUUUUGUGCUUUGUUAGAUGGUAUUUCUAUAAAUAUUCUUGAACUUUAUUUUGAAACUCAGUUACUUAUAAACAGUUUGAUUCUUUUGGGUCUUAUUUUGAGUUUCAUUAUGUGGUAUCAGAGUAGUAUUUAGUCUAAGUUCUAUGUUACUGCAUGACUGAAGCAAAAAUUCUUCCAAGUAUGCUACUCAAUGCCCAUUUCCUAUAGAAACAGGAAUGAUUCUGAGCCCUGGAUUCUAUACCCCGUAAUCAUUCCAGCUGAUUCUUUCCCCAGUCAUGGGUAGUUUCCUCACAUGCAUAUGCUGACUCAUGCUCAGCUGAAGACCCUGUACAGAUCCCCAGUGUUCUCUCUGCACAGCUGUCUCCUUUCCCAUAUCUUUCCUUGCAAACUCUACUCACUUUGCCCUCCCCAGACUCCACUUAGGGAGAUGGCAGGGUUCCAUCUGGGUUUUCCCUUUCUGUACCACAGUCUUGAUACUCACUCCAGACAGUAAGCUGUGGCGAACAUAAGAUUCAUCUUGUUUCUUGUUUCUCUUGGAUCACUAUUCUUCAUUGCCUGAUGUCUUGAAAAAUCUUUUUAUUUUUCAAUAUUGUGUCUGUUUUUUUUUCCACUGGUUUACUGGAGAGUAAAUCUGGUCCCUGUUUCUUCAUUUUGGCCAGAAGCAGAAAUCUAUUCAUAGUAUUUUUUCAAAAAGCUUCUCUGGUGGUUUUUAUUCACACCCUCAAUAUACAACUGCUGCUAUAAAUUUUCUGUAAGAUAUUAGUAAGUGACCCAGAGCAAAGUUUAUUCUAUAAGAAUGCCAGUUUGAUGAGACCCGCUGAUAUUAUUGUAUCUUUGAGCCAGUUUGAGGACAAAAUUGCCAGGUCUACGGCUGUCUUCUUCCCUGUGAGCUUCUUCUCAUAGACUCACAACAAAUAGGAUAAAAGACAAAAAGAGUAAUGUUACUAGUAAUAAAACAUUUCCACAAAGAAUAAACAUUUUCAAAUCUGAUCAGAUAAUCCAGGAAUUUCUUAAAAGUUUCUUAUUUCUAGGAAGAAAAAUAAACAAUUUAAGAGCUUUAUGGAAAGGACACCGGGACUCAAAUCCAAUGAGAGACUUACCUUAACACUGCAGUGGGGGAGGCUUCCAAAUGGCAAACUUCAGAAGAACACACUGUUUAGGGCUAAGGUUCUUAAACUGCAGGAGCAGAAAUUAUUGAGUGAAUCCUACUGAGGCCCCAGAACUGUUGAUUGCUGACUUUCAAAGAAGACCAUCAGAAUAAACUAUUGAUCAAACAAAGCUAAGUUUAUUAACCUGCAGUAAGAGAGUGCAACACCUUGAAAAAGUCCUUAUAAUUCUCAAAAGGGAGAGGUCACAGGUAGAUAUUUAUAAACAUUAAGGGUCUGAGCUCAAGUGGUUUAAAGUCAGGCCUUUCAAGGAAGAAAUCUGGUGGAAAUUCGGCAAAGUUCAUGAUAUUAUAGUUUAGAAUUGGUGGACAUUGUGAUAAGAGGGUCUUGAAGUCCUGAAAAAUAGAUCUUUGAUAAACAAGUUAUUAGACUUGGAGAGGAAUCUGUUGUCCUGAAAAGGGGUUUAUUUUUUCAAAUGAGCAAUCUAUCAUCUGAAUAAAUUGGUUUUCAGAAAUUUUCUGAAGUAAACAUUGAUGUUAUUUAUUGUACACCGUCUUAUCUUCCUGGACAAGAAUUUUCUUGAACAAAUAGUAAAGUCAUAGUGACACAGAUGGUUUGUUUUCCAUACUGAUAGUUAAGCUAUGAGGAUGCAGGUGGUCUCAGUUAGAGAUAAGAAUGGACCUAUUGAAGAGGAAAGCCUACAGAACUGGGUAUGAUUAGACUUCAUAGGGUCUGGUUAUGAUCUGACCAACAAACUAGCUGGAAGAUUUGAACAAAUGACAUCACCUUUCUGAGCCUCACUGGACUUAACAGCUGGACUGACACUACCUGGGACACCACCACACAGAGCCCAGAGUGAACAGAGUGCAGCUCUUCACCCAGAGCUAUGCCCCUCUACCCUUUGUAUAAUUCCUGGUUCAUGGGACGGUAACAGAUUUGAGGUCUGUCAUACCUGGGCAUCAGAAUGAAAAGUUGCCUCCUGGUAGGUGAGUUGCCUCUAUUGAAUGUUGCUGCAGUCUGAAUGUUUGUGUCUACCCAAAAUUCAUAUUUUGAAAUCCUAAACCCUAAGGUGAUGGGGCUUUUUGAUAGGUGAUUAGGUCAUGAGGGUUGAGUCCUCAUGAUCGGGAUUAGUGUCCUUAUAAAUCAGGCACAGAAAGUGACCUUGCUGCUUUCACUGUGUAGGGAUGGGACCACACCAGACAGUGAAUCUGCUGGCAGCAUGAUCUCGGACUUCUCAGCCUCCAGAACUGUGAGAAAUAAAUGUUCGUUGUUUAUAAACCACCCAGUUUAUGGUAUUUUUGUUAAAGCAGCCUAAAUGAACUAAGACAAAUGUUUAUAUAACUUGGGUUUUCCAAGGCCUCACCACAUUGUAAGUAGAAAUAGGGUUACGUUAACAGUAACAACUAAACUUUAGUGGUUCUUGCCACUAGCAAGGCAAGCAAGACCCUACUACCUGGGGAGAAGGGAGUCUCGCAAGGGCUCCUUGCAUAUGUGCACAUACACAAGUCAAGGCCACUGCUGCUUCUGCUACCCCUUCUCAGUGCUAUUGCUCCUAUCCAGCGUCUGCUGGGAACCCCUCUCCCAGAAGGUCUAAGAGGAACUGCCUGGUGUCCCAGGUAUCUCCUGAGAAAGGGACCACUGUUGUGCUGGCUCCCUCAGGGAGCUAGAGCUGCCCAGAGGUCUCUGGGGACAGGGAAAUUGGCUCUCCCCAUUUUGUGUUAUAAUCAGUUGAAUGAUCCCUAUGGUAUCCUUGAAUUCCUUUGUGUUAUAGAGUUUAGUAAAACAACACUUUCAAUUGAUCCUCCCAGUUAGAGGUAUAUUGAAUACACAUUUUGGCCAUAUAUGGAAAGGCGUAGUUUGGCAUAAGCUGAGGCUAAAGAUAAAUAUCAGCAUCAUAGAGUACACUUAUGGAAUGUGAAUACAUCUGAAAUUUUAUUUUAAAAUUGAUGAUUAUACUAUACAAUUCCAUUUAUAUAAACUUCUCAAAAGAUGAAACAAUUGGGAUGGAGAACUAGUAGCUGUUCCUAGUGUCAUGGAGUAGGGUAUUAUGAGGAAGCUUUUUAGGUGGUGAAACUGAUCCAGAUGGUGAUCCUACUGGUGGUUACAUGAACAAUGUUUGUGUUAAAAUUUACAGAACUGUAACUGUCUAAUGGGUUCUUCUUGCCUGCUGCUCAGAUAAAGCUGAUUUAUCAAGAUAGGGCAAUUGCAGUAGAGAAAGAGUUUAAUACAAAUAGAGCCAGCUAAACAGGAGACCAGAGUUUUAUUAUUACCCAAAUCAGCCUCCCUGAAAAUUUGGAGGCUAGAGUUUUUCAAGAGUAAUUUGGUGGGCAAAGGAAUGGGUGCUGCUGAUUGGUUGGGGAUGCAAUCAUAUGGGUGUGGAAAAUGGUCCUCGUGUGCCCUGAGUCAGCUUCCAGUAAGGGUCCACAGAGGAGUCACUGGUUCAGGACACUGGGUCAUCAGAAAUGCAAAAGCCUGACAAGACAUCUCAAAAGGUCAACUUUAGGUUCUACAAUAGUAAUUUUAGGUUCUACAAUAGUAACGUUAUUUACAGGAGUAAUUGAGGAAGUUGAAAAUCUUGUGACCUCUGGAAUAAUGGCUGGUAAUCACUUAACUAUGCCUAUAUCUUAGCAGAAUUCAGGCCCUCCUAUCUUCGUAAACUGGUGGCCUUUCAUUAGUUUUACAAAGGCAGUUUAGUUUUGGAAAGAGCUAUUAUCAUUUAAACUAUAACCUAAAUUUCUCCCAAAGUUAGCUUAGGCCAUGCCCAGGAAUGAAGGGCAGUUUGGAGGUUAAAGGCAAUGUGGAGUUGGUUAGGUCAAAUUUCUUUCACUGUCAAAGUUUUCUCAGUGUUGCAAUUUUUGCAAAGGUGGUUUCAGAACUGUACAUCAAAAGGAAAAAAAAUCAAUUUUACUGUAUGAUAAUUUUAACAAUAAUAUAAAUUAAUGAUUAGUGCAGGUUUUUUUUUUAAGUUGUAUAAAAUUUUUAUAGUUUGACAUGAUAGUGACUCAGAAUUUUCAGCUGCCAGAUUCCUUUUGUGGUCACCAUCGCAUGUUUCUGAUACAGAUUGAAUAUCCCUUGUCCUAAAUGCUUGGAACUGGAAGUGUUUUGGAUUUCAUUUUUUUGAAAUAUUUUGGGAUAUACACAAUGAGAUAUCUCACUGAUGAGAACUGUCUAAACACAGAAUUCUUUUCUAUUUCAUAUACACCUUUUACACUGACAACUGAAAUGAGUAAUUGAAGCAUAAGUUUCAAAGCAUCAAGCUUUGUUGAGCCAGCUUGAAGGCAUACCUGGGAAAAUAGAGAGUCACAGAAGCAUGUGUGACUGUUUUUUCCAAAGAGGUUCUUAGGAGGUUUAGUAUUUAUAUAUUUUCCUUAAAAGGCAGGGGAGGUGGUGGGGCAGCAGUGAGACAAAUGAUUACAUACUUGUAAAACUUUAGUUAGUGCCUGGUAAAUCUACAUCUUACAUAAAAUAAGGUGAACAUAAUGAAUCUCAUCUGGACUGUUACGUAUCUGGGAAGAUAAGCUAGUAGUCUUUUGGAAAGGCUGGUUUCUGUUUAGCUGUUAAGGAAGAAAACCUAACGACUGUUAGCGAGGGUGGGGAUAUAAUGAGGCAUAUGCCAAAUCUCCCAUCCCAUCAUAGCCAUGAAUUCAGCUUCCAAGGUUUUGCUGGGGUUCCCUUGGCCAAGAGAGAAUCCGCUGGGUCAGUCGGAGGGACUUAGAGUUUUAUUUUUAUUUCCUAACAAAUAGCCUGAAGAUAAUUUUAUACAUAUUUUAAAAUAGUUUUGUUCAUGAAGCAAAGUUUUGAUUGGUACCCAUCACAUGAGAUCAGGUGUAAAAUUUUCUACUUGUGGCAUCAUGUUGGCAUUGAAAAAGUUUCAGAUUUUGGAGCAUUUCAGAUUUCAGAUUUUCAGAUUAGGGAUGUUCAACCUGUACUAAGGAGUUACUGGCUUUCGAAUGGCAUGUUUAAUAAUUUCACCUUCUGGGGAAUAACACAGCCAAAUACAAAUCAGGAAAAUGUCUUUCAGUAAUUUGUUUUCUAGAAGAAACUUUGCAUGCAUUUACAUAGCUUAGAUAAAUGAGAAACUCCGAAGCUUCAACUAUUGAAAAUAUUUGCUAGCUUGUAAAAAUCAAUUUAAUAUUAGAAUAGUCUCUAUAAAUUCAAAAUAAGAAAUUGUCUUCUGUGUUCUGAAGUUUGAUUUGUGAAUAAAAUGCAUGUCAGAACUCAGCUAAAAUACAUUCAUUUUUUUCUAUCAAAUUUUACUUAUCUUUUUGGUGUAUAUGAUUUCAGAUACAUUUCUCUCCAUGAAAUUUUGAAAUGUCAGAUGGCAUUCUGCUUUUAAUUCAGCCUCAUAUAAUGCAAAAAAUAAGACUUAUGACUUACUGGAAUUAAAUAAUUAAAAAUAUCAUUCUUUAAGCUUACUUUUUGAGUAUUGUGAAUGCAAUUAUACCAAAACAAUUCUACAAAGAUUCUAAUUAUGAAGUAAUCUAAUAUCAUCAUAGUAAUUAAAUCUAUAUAAGCUUUUGUUGACUCAAUACAAUUAUAUUAUUUUCUACAUUAGUUAUCUAGCUAAUCCUCUUAAUAUUCCUACUGCCAAUCAAGCUCCCAAAUUUAAUUACUUAAACAUUUUAUUAAUAGCUUUUUUUUUUAACAUAAAUUAACAGCUCUCAUAAACAUUAUUUGUUGGAAUAUCUUAUUUUGGGGAUAAGCCGUAUACAUUUCUUCCUCAGCUGACUGGUAGAAUUUCAACAUAUAAAGCACCUAAGAAGAUUUCACUCCAAGUUAGAAUGCUUACAUAUGUUUGAAAGGCAAUGUAGAGAUAUUAACAAUAUCUUUAAUGGCAUGCCUUCUUUAAGUAGCUGUUGUUGUUACACUGAUUAGAUAUGUAAUCAUAUGAUCACAGGGAUGCCAGAAAGAAUGAUGAAGUGGGCUCUCUGAAGGCUGAAGCAGAAAGACUGAUUAUUGCCAAAUGCUGAACCAAAACCAAGUCUGUGCAGUCCUACUUACAAGCUUUUCUAUCAACAACAUGGGCACCUACUUCCUGUUGACAAAGUCUGAAAAAGAAAAAACAAAACAAAAUACACCCACACAGUCAUGAAUCAAUUGAGCUGGGUAGAGCCGUGUCUAAAAAACAGAAGAUACCAUGCUGUAUUGAGAAGUACUUCUCCUUCUGACUCUGGCUUAAUUACUGAAUCCUGCCAGGUUCUCUUUUUCUUUUUCUCUUUUCUUUCUUUCUUUUUUUUUUUUUUUUUUUUUAGACUGAGUUUUGCUCUUGUUGCCCAGGCUGGACUGCAAUGGCGCGAUCUUGGCUCACAGCAACCUCCGCCUCAGCCUCCCGAGUAGAUGGGAUUACAGGCGCCUGCCACUAUGCCUGGCUAAUUUUUGUAUUUUUUUUUUUUUUUUUUUUUUUUUUUUAAGAGACAGAGUUUUACCAUGUUGGCCAAGCUGGUCCUGAACUCCUGACCUCAGGUAAUCCACUGGCCUCGGCCUCCCAAAGUGCUGGGAUUACAGGUAUGAGCCUCCGCACCCAGCCAUGGUUCCGUCUUUUUCUAAGUCCUCAUGACUUGAUUGUGCACAGGCCCACCGUUCCAACCUUCCAUGCUAUCAUAUAUUCCUGAGUGUAUCUAAGUUCCUGUUAGCCUUCUGCUACAUGUAUAUACAUAUACAUAUUAUUUUUUAGUACCUGCUAAAUAACAGGCACUAUGUAUGCUAAAAAAGAGAGUGUAUAUCUAUCUAUAUUCAUAUGUGUGUAUAUAUUUCUAAUAAAUUUCUAAUAUAAUUUUAUGAGGGACUUCCACUUAAACAUGGGGAUUGAAUGUACAUAUUUUUCUAUUUCUCCACAAAAACGACAGCAAAAGAAUUUUUUAAAAUGGCAUAAGCUUGCAAGGACAAAGGCAAUGGAAAAGAAGCUGACACACAACAUUUCAGAAACUGGAAGCAGCCAGGUAGGUCAUAAUUGACUUGGGAACAGAGUGAGCAGAAACCUAAGGCAAGUAAGGGAAAUGCAUCAGUAAGCUAAUUUACUCCAUAGAAUUCCAGGAAGACUUGGAAAAUUGAGGAUCCAGGGACUUAUGGAAGUGGGGACACUGGUGGGUUUCAAAAACAGGAGGGUCAGUUGAAAAUUUAUAAAUAAAGCAGUUAAAAUAUUUUCACCCACCUCAUGUCAUUGGAUGACUACCUUUCACUCACGCCGGUUCUAAACAUACACCCUCUGGAGAGGCUGAUUCCAAAGGGAUUCAGGACUCAGAUGUGGCAACCAUUGCUGAGAAAAAGGCUACAAUAUUAGAACCAGACUACCAUAUUAGAACCAAGUACAUAUUCUGCAUUGAGAAACCCCAGCUCCUUCUCAUACUCAGCUGGUAGAAUUAUGGCACCAAAGAGAUUGGAGUAAGAUCACCAGGAAAACCAACAAUCCAAGAAAAAAAAUCUAAAAACGGCAACAGGUUUUUGGAUGUCCUUCAGUGAAAUGUCCAAGCAAGAAUAUCCCCAUGAAGCUUUCCAGUCAACAAACCUUGUACACACACAGGAUUUUCACUUGGCUUUCUAAUGUCUAACUCUUCAAUACGAACUGACUGCCAAGGAUUAUCAGACAAUGUGAGGAAAACCUCUCGCAUAAAAGACCAAAAAACAGAAAAGAAACUAAGAUGACACAAGAACUGUGAGGUGAGCAACAGAAAGUCUAAAGCAAAUUCUAAUAAAUACCAGAAGGUAACACAUCCAUGAAAUGGAUGGAAAUGAGCCAUGUAAGAAUUUGACUUGUAAACAAUGUAACUAUAUUACUCCUACAAAUUUAUUUCUUUAAUUUAAAAAACGAAUUAGUAAAUAAAACAGCCAUGUGUAAUGACUCUUACAAGAAAGAAAAUUGGAGCUCAGAUUAAAGAAUAUGCCCAGAGUGACACAUUUGAAGCUGGGUGUGUCUCAUUGCAGGUCCAGACAUUUCCAGAUUUCUCCUGGAGUCCAAGGGGCAUGUCAGUGGACCCCGGAUGUUUCAAGCAGUAUCUUGGAUUGCUCUUGGGAAAAAUCUCUCUACAUUCUUCACCCUUAGGUUACUGUCACCCUUCAUUACUACUACAAAUCUUCCUCAAGACAAGUUUCAGGCUGGGGAUAUACAUUGAAGAACUUCAACUCUUUCUUAAGUUCUUAAGUGAGAGAGCAAUCUCAUCAGCAUAUUUUUUGAAAGCCACUGCUCAGAUCAAAAGCAGGCCUGGGAAUGAUUCAGGAAGAAACACUUGGCUCUUGUACCAUGAGACCUGAACCUGGAAUUUCUCUUGAGGUCUUCCUUGAUGGACGGAACGCUUUUAUUCUUCUUAUUCAAGAAAACGAGUUCACAUAGGUCAUGGUACUAGUAACCUUAGCAUAACAAGAAGGAAGGAUGGAAUUAUAAAAUGCUCUUGGGUAUGUUUUUUCUUCUCCUUCAUCCUGAAUAACCCUAGGGCUAUGUGGGGAGAGAGGAGACUACAUUCUCAACAGUGAGACCUAGUUCCUGUCAAGGUAAGUUUGUGUUUUGAAACUAGCUGCUUGUUAGCAUAUGCGUAAAUUAUAGAAAAAAGGAAAAUGUUCACAGGAGUCAAACUUGUUCUCCUCUUCCUCUUCUUCGUAAGUUCUAGAGCUGACAAACACUGGGGUAUACUGCAAUAAACCAUGUUCCAAUUCCUAUAAAAAAUACUAAUUAUUGUCAGAAUUAUUUCAUGAAUCCUGAACACAUUUGAUGCUCAUUGACUUCAAGAAAAGGGACGAGACUGGCUGCUACAAGAAGGCAUCUACAAAACAUUUGAGAAUGCCAGGAGUGCAAAGAAUGAAUUGCUAGGAUUUUCUGUGUUCACCCCUAUUCAACUAGCCUUAAACAUGGGAAUAAAAAUGUUUUAAGUACACGUACAUGAACAUGUAUAUAUGUGUAUGCAUAUCAGAGGCUUGGUCAAAACUCAGCCAACAUAGGCUAGAAACUGCUUUGCCACUCUUGGAAGCCACAGAUUUGCUGUUUUAACUUCUCUGCACUUAUAUUUCUAACUUGUAAAAUAAAAAUAGAUCACCUAAGAGAGAAGGCUGGAAUUCAACACGGAAGUGACACCUAGCAUGAAAAACAAGAGGAAAGUGAAGUAGCCUGCUCAGCUGGGAUUAGCAGGGAGUCUGGAGGGGCUCCCUAAUGUGAGGAAAGAGUAGGUGAGUAGCCCCCAGUGGCCCACCUUCCUACCAUGGACUCCUGCAAUCCUAGCCACUGGAGAGUCCUUUGACCCACACAAGCCCUGAGAAAAAAGGAAAAACGUUCACAGGAGUCAAACUUGUUCUCCUCUUCCUCUUCUUCGUAAGUUCUAGAGCUGACAAACACUGCGGUAUACUGCAAUAAACCAUGUUCCAAUUCCUAUAAAAAAUACUAAUUAUUGUCAGAAUUAUUUCAUGAAUCCUGAACACAUUUGAUGCUCAUUGACUUCAAGAAAAGGGACGAGACUGGCUGCUACAAGAAGGCAUCUACAAAACAUUUGAGAAUGCCAGGAGCGCAAAGAAUGAAUUGCUAGGACAUAGGGCACUGGCUGGAGACCCCAUGAUGGCAUUGCUUCAUAUGGGGAGCUCACACUGGGUCACCCCACCCACCCUCCCUCUUACCCCACUCUUAAGGCACUCCAGCAAGGUACCAUUUUGAAAGCCCAGCAGACUGCAUCCUACCCUGGGACCCCACAGACCUUGCAACUCCAGAUUCCUUGAGCCCCAUUGACCUCCCCCUAACGCAGACCCUGCUGCUGCUGGCUGCUGCCUCCAUAUCCAAUGUGGGGGCCACUGGAAGCUACCCACCAUCCCCAUCAGCAGGGUACCGUACAUUUAGAAGCACCCUGAGAACAGGCUACCCCACCAGCAACUACCACCUGGGGCCAAAGUGUGUGCUCCCAGUGGCCCUCCUAAGGCUUCUGCCAAUGAAAGCAACCCCAGCAACAUGGCUAGGGUGUAGCUGCUGGUCCUCCCAUCCAAGCAUUCCACUGAGGGCCUGGAAAUCACCAUGCCCCUGCCUACCAUAGCUAGUGCCUAUAUAUACCAUCGGGGGGCCUGAGGCUCACCUCUGUCUCCCUUCUCCCUAGUGCCCAUGCAGGGGCCUGGGGAUUGCUCAGCCCCAUCUAUUCCUGUUGGCGCCUGAGCACUCAUCCUGAAGGCCUGGAGAUGGGUUCACCCAACCUGCCACUACCAUCACAGCCAGCAUACACCCCCCACCCACAGACAUGAACCACCUGUGGGCCUGGGAAAUGGCCUGCAGCCACCUUGAAAAUCAGUUGGGACUACUUGGGUACCAGAGGAUUGUCCUGCCACUGCAACUGCCAUCACCCACACCAUGCCUGAUGCCCAGGGCCUAUGGACCUGCCCAUCCACCUGGCCCACAGCUGCCAUUGCCAGCACCUCAGCAAGCUGACUGGAAGCCCCCAGAUCAGCCCGCCUGGACACACUAACACUGAUGCCAGCAUAUACCACAUUUACCACCAACUGAUUUUCUAUAAAGGUGCCAAGUAUAUACACUGAGGAAAGGACACUUUCUUCACUAAAUGGAAUAGAAAAAACUGGAUAUCCAUAUGCAGAAGAAUGAAACUGGACCCAUCUCUCACCCUGUACAAAAAUCAACUCAAAUCAGUUAAGGACUUAAACAUAAGACCCAAAAUUAUGAACUACUACAAGAAAACAUAGGGAAAACAAUUCAGGACAUCAGUCUGACCAAAGAUUUUAUAGCUAAGAUCUCUAGAUCACAGGCACCAAAAAGAAAAAUAGACAAAUGGGACUAUAUUAAACUAAAAAUUCUUCUACACAAGAAACCAACAGACUGAAGAUACAGCUUGUUGAAUGGGAGAAAAUAUUUACAAGAUAUUUAUCCAACAAGGGACUAGUAUCCAGAAUAUACAAGGAACUCAAACAACUCAACAGUAAAAGACCACAAAUCAUCCUACUAAAAAGUGGGUAAAGGGCCAGGUGCAGUGGCUUACACCUGUAAUCCCAGCACUGUGGGAGGCUGAGGCAGGUGGAUCACUUGAAACCAGAAGUUUGAGACCAGCCUGGCCAACAUGGUGAAACCCCGUCUCUACUAAAAUACAAAAAUUAGCUGGGCAUGGUGGUGGGCGCCUGUAAUCCCAGCCACUGGGGAGGGGAGGCAGGAGAAUUGCUUGAGCCUAGGAGGCAGAAGUUGCUGUGAGCCACGAUUUCACCACUGCACUCCAGUUUGAGCAACAGAAUGAGACUCUGCCUAAGAAGAAAAAUGGGCAAAGGACAUGAAUAGAUAUUUCUCAAAAAAAGACAAAUGGGCAUAUUAAAAAAUGCUCAACAUCAGUAAUCAUCGGGAAACUGCAAAUUAAAAUCACAAUGAGAUAGCAUCAUACUCCAGUUAAAAUGACUAUUACUAAAAAGACAAAAGUCUGAUGCCUGUAGUCUCAGCUACGCAUGAGGCUGAGGCAGGAGUAUUGCUUAAGGCUAGGAGUUCAAGGCUGCAGUGCAUCCUGAUUGCACCUGUGAAUCACCACUGUUCUUCAGCCUGGGAAACAGGCAACAGAGCAAGACCCUGUCAAAGAAGGAGAAGGAGAAGAUGAAGACGAAAUAUAGAUGCUGGUGAGGAUGCAGAAAAAAGGGAAUUCUUGUUGGUGGGAGUUGGUGGGAAUGUAAACUAGUACAGCCAUUUUGGAAAACAGUAUGGAGAUUUCUCAAAAAACUAAAAACAGCUACCAUACAGUCCAGUAAUCUAACUAGUAUUUAUCCAAAGGAAAGGAAAUUAAUAUAUCAAAGGAAUACCUGCAGCCCAUGUUUAUUGCAGCACCAUUCACAAUUGCAAAGAUAAGGAAUCAACGUAAGUAUCCAUCAUGGAUGAAUGGUUAAAGAAUAUAUAUAUAUACACAAUGGAAUACUAUUCAGCCAUAAACAAGACUAACAUGAUGGCAUUUACAGCAACUUGGAUAGAACUGAAGGGUCAUUAUCUUAAGUGACAUAAGCCAGUCACAGAAAGAAGAAUAUCACAUGUUCUCACUCAUAUGUAAGAGCUAAAAAAGUGGAUCUUAUGGAAGUAGAGAAUAGAAUGAUAGACACCAGAGGAUUGGAAGGGUGUGUGGGUGGUGGGGGGUGAAUGAAGUAGAGGUUGGUUAAUGGGUACAAACACACAGAAGGAAAAAAUUCUAAUAUGCAAUAACAGAGUAGGGUGACUAUAGUAUAGUAUUAUAUGUUUCAAACUUACUAUAAAAGAGGACUUAAGAUGUUCUCAACAUAUAGGUAUAAUCAAUAAUGGAGGUGAUGAAUAGCCCAAAUAGCCUGACUUGAUCAUUACAUGUUCUGUGCAUGUAACAAAAUACUACAUGUAUCCCAUAAAUAUGUACAAAUAUGUCUCCAAAAAAUCAAAUUUUUGUACUGAGUAAUACAGGGAUGGUAAAUACAUUUUGAAAGGUAAUUUGGGCAAGUUAUUAAUACCUCAGCCUAGGAAUUUUGAAAAAUGUAUUCUAAAUACAUGAAAGAAUAGAGAAGUCUGGAAUAACUUAGAUUCGUAGUGUCAUACCAGAAAACUUGGGAACAUUCAAAGACAAAUGAAUGUAAUAAGAAUAAUAGAAUGAAAACAAACAGGUAUUAUUUUCAAUGUCUUUUAAAGUGGCCUUAAAAAAACCCAAAUGCCAUUGCUGGUGAGAGAAGUGAAGAGAGAAUGAAAAAAAAAAGAUAAUUCUUAGCAAGUAAAUUGAAGUUUUAAAUAAAUAACAAUGUAGAGCUGUUUGAGUUUUUAUUAUACUUUAAGUUCUGAGAUACAUGUGCAGAACGUGCAGGUUUGUUACAUAGGUAUACACAUGCCAUGGUGGUUUGCUACACACAUCAACCCAUCAUCUAUAUUAGGUAUUUCUCCUUAAUGCUAUCCCUCCCACAGCCCCCCACCCCUCGACAGUCCCCAGUGUGUGAUGUUCCCCUCCCUGUGUCCAUGUGUUCUCAUUGUUCAACUCCCACAUAUGAGUGAGAAUAUGCAGUGUUUGGUUUUCUGUUCUUGUGUUUGCUGAGAAUGAUGGUUUCCAGCUUCAUCCAUGUCCCUGCAAAGGACAUGAACUCAUCCUUUUUAUGGCUGCAUAGUAUUCCAUGGUGUAUAUGUGCCACAUUUUCUUUAUCCAGUCUAUCCUUGGUGGGCAUUUGUGUUGGUUCCAAGUCUUUGCUAUUGUGAACAGUGCUGCAAUAAACAUACGUGUGCAUGUGUCUUUAUAGUUGAAUGAUUUAUAAUCCUUUGGGUAUAUACCCAGUUAUGGGAUUGCUGGGUCAAAUGGUAUUUCUUGUUCUAGAUCCUUGAGGAAUUGCCACACUGUCUUGCACAAUGGUUUAACUAAUUUACACUCCCACCAACAGUGUAAAAGUGUUCCUGUUUCUCCACAUCCUCUCCAGCAUCUGUUGUUUCCUGACUUUUUAAUGAUCAUUAUUCUAACUGGCAUGAGAUGGUAUCUCGUUGUGGUUUUGAUUUGCAUUUCUCUAAUGACCAGUGAUGAAGAGCUUUUUUUCAUAUGUUUGUUGGCUCCAUAAAUGUCUUCUUUGAGAAGUGUCUGUUUUUAUCCUUCACCCACUUUUUGAUGAGGUUGUUUUUUACCUUGCAAACUUGUUUAAUUUCUUUGUAGAUUCUGGAUAGUAGCCCUUUGUCAGGUGAAUAGAUUGCAAAACUUUUCUCCCACUGUAGGUUGCCUGUUCACUCUGAUGAUAGUUUCUUUUGCUGUGCAGAAGCUCUUUAGUUUAAUUAGAUCCCAUUUGUAAAUUUUGGCUUUUGUUGCCAUUGCUUUUGGUGUUUUAGUCAUGAAAUCUUUGCCCAUGCCUAUGUCCUGAAUGGUAUUGCCUAGGUUUUCUUCUAGAGUUUUUAUGGUUUUAGGUCUUACAUUUAAGUCUUUAAUCCAUCCUGAGUUAAUUUUUGCAUAAGGUAUAAGGAAGGUGUCCAUUUUCAGUUUUCUGCAUAUGACUAGCCAGUUUUCCUAACACCAUUUAUUAAAUAGGGAAUCCUUUCCCCAUUGCUUGUUUUUCUCAGGUUUGUGAAAGAUCAGAUGGUUGUAGAUGGGUGGUGUGAUUUCUGAGGCCUCUGUUCUGUUCCAUUGGUCUAUAUCUCUGUUUUGGUACCAGUAUCAUGCUAUAUUUGUUACUGUAGCCUUGUAGUAUAGUUUGAAGUCAGGUAAUGUGAUGCCUCCAGCUUUAAUUUUUUUUGCUUAGGAUUUUCUUGGCUAUACAGACUCUUUUUUGGUUCCAUAUGAAGUUUAAAGUAGUUUUUUCUAAUUCUGUGAAGAAAGUCAACGGUAGCUUGAUGGGGAUAGCAUUGAAUCUAUAAAUAACUUUGGGCAGUAUGGCCAUUUUGCCAUUUUCAUGAUAUUGAUUCGUCCUAUCCAUGAGUAUGGAAUGCUUUUCCAUUUGUGUCCUCUCUUAUUUCCUUGAGCAGUGGUUUGUAGUUCUCCUUGAGGAGGUCCUUCACAUCCCUUGUAAGUUGUAUUCCUAGGUAUUUUAUUCUCUUCGUAGCAAUUAUGAAUGAGAGUUCACACAUGAUUUGGCUGUUUGUCUGUUACUGGUGUAUAGGGAUGUUUGUGAUUUUUGCACAUUGAUUUUGUAUCCUGAGACUUUGCUGAAGUUGCUUAUCAGCUUAAGGAGAUUUUGGGCUGAGAUGAUGAGUUUUCUAAAUAUACAAUCAUGUCAUCUGCAAACAGAGACAAUAUGACUUCCUCUCUUCCUAUCUGAAUACCCUUUAUUUCUUUCUCUUGCCUGAUUGCCCUGGCCAGAACUUCCAAUACUGUGUUGAAUAGGAAUAGAGAGAGAGGGUAUCCUUGUCUUGUUCUGGUUUUCAAAGGGAAAGCUUCCAGCUUUUGCCCAUUCAGUAUGACAUUGGCUGUGGGUUUGUCAUAAAUAGCUCUUAUUAUUUUGAGAUACCUUCCAUCAAUACCUAGUUUAUUGAGAGUUUUUAGCGUGAAGGGGUGUUGAAUUUUAUCGAAGGCUUUUUCUGCAUCUGUUGAGAUAAUCAUGCGGUUUUUGUCAUUGGUUCUGUUUAUAUGAUGGAUUAUGUUUAUUGAUUUGCAUAUGUUGAACUAGCCUUGCAUCCCAGAGAUGAAGCCUACUUGAUCAUGGUGGAUAAGGUUUUUGAUGUGCUGCUGGAUUUGGUUUGCCAGUAUUUUAUUGAGGAUUUUCGCAUCAAUGUUCACCAGGGAUAUUGGCCUGAAAUUUUCUUUUGUGUGUGUGUGUGUGUCUCUGCCAGGUUGUGGUAUCAGGAAGAUGCUGGCCUCAUAAAUUGAGUUAGGUAGGAGUCCCUCUUUUUCUAUUGUUUGGAAUAGUUUCAGAAGGAAUGGUACCAGCUCUUUGUACCUCAAGUAGAAUUCUGUUGUGAAUCUGUUUGGUCCUGGACUUUUUCUGGUUGGUAGGCUAUUAAUUGCUGUCUCAAUUUCAGAACUUGUUAUUGGUCUCUUCAGGGAUUCAACUUCUUCCUGAUUUAGAUUUGGGAGGGUGUAUGUAUGUGUCCAGGAAUUUAUCCAUUUCUUUUAGAUUUUCUAAUUUAUUUGCAGAGAGGUGUUUAUAGUAUUCUCUGAUGGUAGUUUAUAUUUCUGUGGGACCAGUGGUGAUAUCCCCUUUAUCAUUUUUUAUUGUGUCUAUUUGAUUCUUCUCUGUUUUCUUCUUUAUUAGUCUGGCUAGUGGUCUAUUUUGUUGAUCUUUUCAAAAAACCAGCUCGUGGGUUCAUUGAUUUUUUUUUUUUGAAGGAUUUUUCGUGUCUCCGUUUACUUCAGUUCUGCUCUGAUCUUAGUUAUUUCUUGUCUUCUGUUAGCUUUUGAAUGUGUUUGCUCUCGCUUCUCUAGUUCUUUUCAUUGUGAUGUUAGGGUGUCGAUUUUAGAUCUUUCCUGCUUUCUCUUGUGGCCAUUCAGUGCUAUAAAUUUCCCUUUAAACACUAUUUUGGGUAUGUACCAGAGAUUCUGGUAUGUUGUGCCUUUGUUCUCAUUGGUUUCAAAGAACUUAUUUUCUGCCUUAAUUUUAUUAUUUACCCAGUAGUCAUUCAGGAGUAGGUUGUUCAAUUUCCAUGUAGUUGUGCAGUUUUGGGUCAGUUUCUUAAUCCUGAGUUCUAAUUUGAUGCACUGUGGUUUGAGAUACUGUUUGUUAUGAUUUCCAUUCUUUUGCAUUUGCUGAGGAGUAUUUUACUUCCAAUUCUGUUGGUCAAUUUUAGAAUAAGUGUGAUGUGGUGCUGAGAAGAAUGUAUAUUCUAUGAAUUUGGGGUGGAGAGUUCUGUAGAUGUCUAUUAGGUCUGCUUGGUCCAGAACUGAGUUCAAGUCCUGAAUAUCCUUAUUAAUUUUCUGUCCCAUUGAUCUGUCUAAUAUUGACAGUGGGUCGUUAAAGUCUCCCACUAUUAUUGUAUGGGAGUUGAAGUCUCUUUGUGGGUCUCUAAUAACUUGCCUUUUGAAUCUGGGUGGUCCUGUAUUGGGUGCAUAUAUAUUUAGGAGAGUUAGCAUAGUUAGCUCUUUUUGUUGCAUCAAUCCCUUUACCAUUAUGUAAAGCCCUUCUUUGUCUUUUUUGAUCUUUGUUGGUUUAAAGUCUGUUUUAUCAGAUAUUAGGAUUGCAACCCCUGCUUUUUUUGCUUUCCAUUUACUUGGUAAAUAUUCCUCCAAUCCUUUAUUUUGAGUCUAUGUGUGUCUUUGCACGUGAGAUCGGUCUCCUGAAUACAGCACACCGUUGCUUCUUGACUCUAUCUAAUUUGCCAGUCUGUUUCUUUUAAUUGGGGCAUUUAGUCCAUUUACAUGUAAGGUUAAUAUUGUUAUGUGUGAAUUUGAUUCUGUCAUUAUGAUGCUAGCUGGUUAUUUUGCCUGUUGAUGCAGUUUCUUCAUAGUGUUGAUGGUCUUUACAAUUUGGUAUGUUUUUGCAGUGGCUGGUACUGGUUUUUCCUUUCCAUGUUUAGUGCUUCCUUUAGGAGCUCUUGUAAGGCAAGCCUGGUGGUGACAAAAUCUCUCAGCAUUUGCUUGUCUGUAAAGGAUUUUAUUUCUUCUUCACUUUUGAAGCUUAGUUUGGCUGGAUAUGAAAUUCUGGGUUGAAAAUUCUUUUCUUUAAGAAAGUUGAAUAUUGGCCCCCACUCUCUUCUGUCUUGUAGGGUUUCUGCAGAGAGAUCCACUGUUAGUCUGAUGGGCUUUCCUUUGUGGGUAACCUAACCUUUCUCUCUGGUUGCCCUUAACAUUUUUUUCUUCAUUUCAACAUUGGUGAAUGUGACGAUUAUGUGUCUUAGGGUUGCUCUUCUCAAGGAGUAUCUUUGUGGUGUUCUCUGAAUUUCCUGAAUUUGAAUGUUGGCCUGACUUGCUAGGUUGUGGAAGUUCUCUUGGAUAAUAUCCUGAAGAGUGUUUUCCAACUUUUGGUUCCAUUCUCCCCAUCACUUUUAGGUACACCAGUCAAAUGUAGGUUUGUUCUUUUCGCAUAGUCUCAUAUUUCUUGGAGGCUUUGUUUCCUUUCCUUCUUUUUUCUCUAAUCUUGUCUUCAUGCUUUAUUUCAGUAAGUUGAUCUUCAAUCUCUGAUAUCCUUUCUUUGGUUUGAUCUAUUUGGCUAUUGAUACUUGCAUAUGCUUCACAAAGUUCCCAUGCUGUGUUUUUCAGCUCCAUCAGGUCAUUUAUGUUCUUCUUUAAACUGGUUAUUCCAGUUAGCAAUUCAUCUAACCUUUUUUCAACGUUCUUGGCUUCCUUGCAUUGGGUUAGAACAUGCUCCUUUAGCUCAGAGGAGUUUGUUAUUACCCACCUUCUAAAGCCUACUUCUAUCAAUUCGUCAAACUCAUUCUCCAUCCAGUUUUGUUCCCUUGCUGUUGAGGAGUUCUGUUCCUUUGGAGGAGAAGAGGCAUUCUGGUUUUUGGAAUUUUCAGCCUUUGUGCAUUGAUUUUUUUCUCAUCUUCAUGGAUUUAUCUACCUUGGGUCUUUGAUGUUGGUAAGCUUCGAAUGGAGUUUUUGUGUGGACAUCCUUUUGGUUGAUGUCAUUGCUGUUCCUUUCUGUUUGUUAGUUUUGCUUCUAACAGUCAGGCCCCUCUUCUGCAGGUCUGCUGGAGUUUGCUGGAGGCCCACUCCAGACCCUGUUUACCUAUAUCACCAGCGGAGGCUGCAGAACAGCAAAAAUUGCUGCCUGCUCCUUCCUCUGGAAGCUUUGUCCCUGAGGGUCACCCGCCAGAUGCCAGCGAGAGGUCUCCUCUAUGAGGUGUCUGUCAACCCUUGCUGGGUGGUGUCUCCCAGUCAGGCUACAAUGGGGGUUAGGGACCCACUUGAGGAGGCAGUCUGACCCUUAACAGAGCUUGAACGCUGUCCUGGGAGAUCUGCUGCUCUCUUCAGACCCAGCAGGCAGGGAUGUUUAAGUCUGCUGAAGCUGUGCCCACCGCUGCUUCCCCUGGGUGCUCUGUCCCAGGGAGAUGGGGGUUUUUAUCUAUAAGUCCCUGACUGGGGCUGCUGCCUUUUUUUUCAGAGAUGUCCUGCUCAGAGAGGAGCAAUCUAGAGAGGCAGUCUGGCUUCAAUGGCUUUGCUGAGCUGCGGAGGGAUCCACCAAGUUGGAACUUCCCCUUGGCUUUGUUUACACUGUGAGGGGAAAACAGUCUACUCAAGCUUCAGUAAUGGCAGACACCCCUCCCCCCACCAAGCCCGAGUGCCCCAGGUUGACUUCAGACUGCUGUGGUGGCAGUGAGAAUUUCAAGCCAGUGAAUCUUAGCUUGCUGGGCUCUGUGGGGUUGGGGUCCGCUGAGCUAGACCACUUGGAUCCCUGGCUUCAGCCCCCUUUCCAGGGGAAUGAACUGUUCUGUCUCGCUGGCAUUCCAGGUGCCACUGGGGUAUGAAAAAUACUCUUGCAGCUAGCUUGGUGUCUGCCCAAACAGCUGCCCAGUUUUGUGCUUGAUACCCAGGGCCCUGGUGGCAUAGUCACCCAAGGGAACUUCCUGGUCUGUGGGUUGCGAAGACUGUGGGAAAAGUGUAGUCUGGGCCGAAGUGCACUGUUCUUCAAGGCACAGUCCCACAUGGCUUCCCUUGGCUAGGGGAGGGAAUUCCUUGACCCCUUGCACUUCCUGGGUGAGGCAAUGGCCCACCCUCCUUCGGCUCGCCCUCCAUGCGCUGCACCCACUGUCUAACCAGUCCCAAUGAGAUAAGCUGGGUACCUCAGUUGGAAAUGCAAAAAUCACCCACCUUUUGCAUUGAUCUUGCUGGGAGCUGCAGACUGGAGCUGUUCCUUUUGGCCAUCUGGUCAGCCACCUUUUUUUUUUUUUUUUUUUUUUUGAGAUAGAGUCUUGCUCUGUCACCCAGGCUGGAGUGCAGUGGCACAAUCUCGGAUCACUGCAGCCUCCACCUCCUGGGUUCAAGUGAUUCUCCUGCCUCAGCCUCCUGAGUAGCUGGGAUUACAGGCAUGUGCCACCACACCUGGGUAAUUUUUGUAUUUUUAUUAGAGACAGGGUUUCUCCAUGUUAGCCAGGCUGGUCUUGAACUCCUGACCUCAGGUGAUCCACCUGCCUCAGUCUCCCAAAGUGCUGGGAUUACAGGCAUGAGCCACCACGCCCAGCUGAGCUGUUUGUAUUUAAUAUUGGCAUACGUCUUCGAUAUGAACAAGUUCAUUGUAUAUUAUUUAGGGAAAUAAAGCUGUUCCAGUGAGGGGACUACAGUCAGUGCAAAAAUUUUGAAAAAAAAAUAUGGAAAGUAUUUUGUCCUACAUGUUAGGCACUGAAAUUACAGUUACUAAAUGAGAGGGAAAUUUGAGAUUUAAAAAAAAAGAAAGUAAAGGAAAUCCCCUAAAUAAUGCCUUGCAAACUGAUAGCUGACAUAGAAUAAAAAACUGAAGCAACAAUCAAGUUAAAUAUUCUCUUCCCCAAGGGACACAGGGCACUUUAGAGACAAACUGGCUAUGUUCCCAUAUCAGCCUUGACAUUUUUACUGGACAACCUUAUCCUUCCAGCCUCUUUUGACCUCUCUGUUAAAUGAAGGGAAUAUUGGGUUGAUGUAGAGUUGAAAUGAGAUAGCAAAAGGUGUGAUGCAGUCUUAGUGAUCAUUCUUCCCCUGGAUUCCUUCCUCUUCCAUUCCCCAUUUCUUUUUUUUUUUUCCUUUUUUAUUUUUUUAUUAUCUGAGGCAGAGUCUUGCUCUGUAGUCCAGACUGGAGCACAGAAGCAUGUUCACAGCUCACUGUAGCCUCAACCUCCUGGGCUCAAGUGAUUCUCCCACCUCAUCCUCCCGAGUAGCUGGGACUACAGGUGCACACCAUCAUGCUUAGCUAAUUUUUGUAUUUUUUGUAGAUGUGGGGUCUUGCCAUGUUGCCCAGGCUGGUUUCAAAUGCCUGGGCUCAAGCAAUUCACCCACCUCGGCCUCCCAAAGUGCUGCUAUUACAGGUGUGAGCCACUGUACUUGGCCCCUCCCCCAUUCCUUUCCAACCAAACUGAAACCUCCUCAAAAGGAAGAAUCAAGUCCUACUCUUUUGAGGUACCUGGCACAGUGGUCAGUAGGAUAGGCAGUUAUGGCUUAGUUGAUUUUGAAUUUGCCAUUCUCUCUGCAUGCCUCAAGUUCCUACCCUACUCCCAGGUGAAUUAUCUGAAUAAUUUUUUUCUAACCUUCUCACCUUGCUUAUUAAAAGAACAAAAACAAUCAAUAGCAGAACUGCCAGGAAAGAAAUCCAUGAUAUUAUUUUCUUUGAACAAGAGGGCAGUUGUGAUUGGUGUAGCAAUUUGGGUAGUUUGAUACAGAGGGGUGGAAUUAUGCGGUGGAAACUGUGAAGGUGAGUGCCUCCUGGUAAUGGCUCUUUUCUUGCCUUUUAUACACACAUGGGCCCCAGGAUGAUUAAGGGUGAUGGUAAACUCCGCCUCUACUCAUGUGUCUCUGUCUGUUUCUAGCCAGUGAGUAGAAUUGCAAAAUUUAUUCUCUUUUUCUUUUACCCACAUCUUUUUAGGAUGUUUGCUGGGAAUAAGGGAGUAGAAAAAUAAGGCAAAACCCUGUGCCCACAAAAUAGAGCAAAGCAAACUGUCCCCCAAAGCAAGCGAGUUUCCCAUGGAGUGGCCAGUAGAAGAGCCUCCCAUAUCCUAAGGUUCUGGGGUACAUCUGAUUAUUUUCCUGCUUUUCCAGUGAGACACUGUACAUCACUGCUGUUCACCUGAGAACUAUUCUCAUGAUUCAGCAGAGGAUCAAAACAAGGAAAAGGAAAUAUAUUAGUCUGAAAAUUCUACAAUAGGUAAUUGCACAAGAAUGAGUGGCUUACAUAUCUAUGCAGCACUAGGCUAGGCACAAUUCAAGACACAAGGAAGUCUUAAGAUACGUAUCUAACCCCCAAGAAGUUUAUAGUCCAGUUUUUAGUUUCCAGCCAAGCCUUCCAUGAAGUAUUCCCAAGUGUAGAUAUUGCCUUUGUCUAUUAAUAUAUAUAAGAUGACACAUAAUAUUGUCAAUCUACUUUGAGAAAAAAAAAGUUGUCAAAAGCCCAGAAAUCACUUUGUGUCUGUUUUCUCCUCUCUUGGCAGUCUGAAAUACCAGUGUUGAGUGAUCUACUUACCCACUGCUCCGUCAUACCACUCUAAAACAAUCAAUGGCUCCCUAUUAUGUUACUCAUUAGGUCUCCCUUUUGAAUCAAUUUUUAUUUCCCUUUAGAAACCAUUUUUGAAUCAUGGAUGACAGGUAAAUUGGCAGGGGUGGGGGUUGGUGAGAGACUUAGGUUCCUCUAGUUGUCUCUGGUGUUGACUUUGUUCUAAAUCCAUGCUUCGUAUGCUUUUAAAAAUAGUUUACUUGGCAACAUUUGCAUGUGUGUGCAAGCACACAAGUGCACCCAUGCAUGCAUGUAAAUGAAGCAAUUUCAGAAAAUGAAACUUAUGUGCAGCACACAGUGAUAUUCUCUAUUCUAUUUUAAUUCACGGUUAGUGCUCAUGGCAACCAUCUUUUGACUUUAUUAUCUACUCUGGGUCACAAGCUUAGUGUUUGAAAAAUUUUAUCUAAAGUUUACACUGAGUUUACAUUUAUAAAUUCAUUUGCUCUAAUACUGUGAAGAAUGUAGAGAAGAUUCCAAUAUUAUAAUUCCCCUAUUUAAAAUGAAAGAAAGUAGAGAUGAAUUAACAUGCCUAAGGUCACCCAGCUAAUUUGGGGUCAAAUUUCCAACAUUUCCACUGUGCCAGGUACCUUUCUCCCCCACUCCCAGCCCAGACUCACCAGCACAUUGUUGGAACAAAGAGUGGGUGUAUGAUAUAGUUUGGAUAUUUGUAUUCUCCAAGUCUCAUGUUGAAAUUGAUCCCCCAAUAUUCAAGGUGGGGCCUAUUGGGAAGUGUUUGGGUCACGAUCCUUCAUGAUCCACUUGGUGCUGUCCUUGCAGUAAUGUAUAAGUUUUCACUCUAUUCAUGAAGGAGCUGGUUGUUUAACAGCAUGGCACCUCCUCCCUGCCUACUUGCCACCUCCUCCCACUAUGUGAUACGCCAGCUCCCCUUGUUUCUGCCAUGAGUUAAAGCUUCCUGAGGCCUCACCAGAAGCCAGGCAGCUGUAGAGCCGUGCAUGCUUCCUGUACAGCCUGAAGAACUCUGAGCCAAAUAAACCUCCUUUCUUUAUAAAUUACCCAGCAUCAGGUAUUCCUUUAUAACGAUACAAAUGGACUAACAGUAUAUUAGUUAGGAUUGUUUCAGGGGCAAAUAAUAGCAGGUUCAACUAAAAUGGCUUAAAUAAUAACUAGUUAUUAUCUUAAUAAGUUUCAAAGUAGGGCUGAUUAGUUCAGCAGCUCAAACACAUCUUCAAAGACUCAUGUGCUAUCUAACUUCUGCUUUGCCAUUUUCAGUAUGUUGUCUGUGUAUUCAGAUAGUUCCUUUCGUGGCCUCAAGAUAAUAGCCUAACCAUGACAUCUUUGAAAAUAAUUUCCAAAGCCCCGAAGAAAAAAUGUUCUGUUCUCUCUUUUCUUUGUAAGAGUUGGGGAUAUUUUCCCAGAAGUCAACCUGUGUCUCACUGUCUACUAUUGCAGCACGGCAAGCCUGUCCUAACCUAAUCACUGGCAAGGGUAGAGGAAUUACCAUAAAAGGCUCAGAAUUAGCCUACAGAACUGAGGAGAGGCUGGAUCUCCCUGGAAGACUUGACUUCACACGACCUGAACAAAAUCCCACUUAUGUAUGCCAGGAAUAAAGUGGGGGUGGAGGGUUGGUAAUAAUUAAGUAGGCAACCAAGUGUGUCUUUAAUAACGAGUAUGGAUGAAAAUUCCCAGACAGUGAAGUGUCUGUCUCUUACCCUUCCCGUACCCUUUGUUUCUAGGGAGAAUGCCUGAUUCCUUCAACUUGUAUUCCUGUUCCAUAUUCUUUUCAGCUGCCUUUGGCCCCUUAACUGUCUCGACUCCUGCUUACUUAAUGUCUAAUCUAUUCUAGGCCAAUUCAUGCCCUUCCCACCCAUUCUUCACCAUCAACCUCAUUCAUUCAGGCAAUUACUUACCCACUUGUCUUUCUCUUUUCCUGUUAAAUGAAUACUUGCUAUAUGGCAGACACUGAACUAAGCCCUGGAAAAACAAUGAUGCAUAAGGCACAGUCCCUACCUCUAAUAGCCAAAGGUUGAUUUUAAAUACUUAGUGCACUCCAAUAUAUAUACAGAAAUUUGACAUCUGCUUUUCUGAAUGUACAGGGUGCUCAGCAUCCCUGGAAACAGUCUGAGGGAGGGAUCAGAGUGACAGACUUUAUUUGGGAAGUACAUGCCUUUGGGUAGUAGGGGUGAGGAAAAAAAGGUCAAGGCAAAAUGAAGCAAGUAAGAACAAAGAAAUAAAGGAAAGUAGGGAAAACAUUUCUCUGCUGGCUACUGACUCACAAGGAGCAGCCAAGAGACACUGCAGGUCACUUGGUAGGGCGCUCUUGCUGACAUGGAACUGCAGGAUCAUCCUGAUGGGCUUCAAGGGGGAGGCUAUGCCUCAGAAUAGUCUUGGGAGAGAAGAAAUUAAUUUACUGGCUCCUUCCCAUUUCUAGUUUCCCAGUAAUCAAAGUUAACCCCAUGGAGAGUUACCACCACUGAAUUUCGGGGUUGUGUUAUUUGGCCCUUUGGUGGCCCCUUGUGAUGGUAGAUCCCAAGCCAUCUUGGGGUGGGAUGUGUGGUUUCACCCAGUUAUGAAAGCAGAGGGCCACUCAGCUGUGUGAUUAGCAGAGUGAACCUGAAUGCGGCACUUGAAGACUGAAAAGGUGUUUGAUUUCUGUUCAUUACAUUAAUGGUCUUGCAGGGAUAAUGUGGACGUAAUUUCCUUCUGGUUCUUCUCUCUUUUUGCAACAUUUAAAUCUUUAACCCAUGCCUGCUUGUGAUGCCAUGAUGCCUGAUGGCGACUCCUAAUCCCAGGUUUCCUCUGCUGAAGGGAGCUAAUAGCUGGCUUCACUAUUCCUUUCUUGCUUGAUAGACAUUGGCCAAACAUGGGAUCCUACUGUUCCUCAGACUGCCUGUGGCCCUCACUAGGUCAUCUGUUGUAACUCCUGUAGCAACAAGUAUCCCUUUGAUUAAAUGAAAUACAUUAGAAAGGUGGUUGAGAUUAUUAACUUGCUUCUUAAAAAAAACAGAAAUAGAAAAACACCUCCAUGAUGUCUUGAACAGUGUUUCUCAAACUUUAUGGAGCAUACUUAUCACCUGGAGUCCUUGUUAAAACACAGGUUCUAGGGUCCACCCCUAGAGAGUCUUUUCCUGGAGCCUUGGUCUGGGGCUAGAUUAUAAUCUAACAAGAUCCUAGUUGACGUUAAUGUCAGCUCAAGGACCACAUUUUGAGAAGAGUUGGUGUUAGAGGGGAAAGAAUAGUCAAAUGUUAAUAUCCGGACUUAAUUCCUUACUAGCAGGCAAAAAGGAAUACAUUGAUGUUUAAAAAUUGCACUAUCUAGGCCAGGCGUGGUGGCUCACGCCUGUAAUCCUAGCACUUUGGUAGGCCAAGGUGGGCGGAUCACCUGAGGUCAGGAUUCGAGACCAGCCUGGCCAACAUAGCGAAACCCCAUCUCUACUAAAAAAUUACAAAAAUUAGCUGGACGUGGUGAUGCAUGCCUGUAAUCCCAGCUACUCAGGAGGCUGAGGCAGGAGAAUCACUUGAACUCAGGAGGCAGAGAUUGCAGUGAGCCAACAUUGCGCCACUGUAUUUCAGCCUAGGUGACAGAGUGAGACUGUCUAAAAAAAUAAAAAUUAAAAAUCUCACAAUCUAGUGAGAGAAAGAAUUUUUUUAAAAAAUACAACAUAUUAGGGGAAAUAUUUAUUAUAGGGUUGUGUAUAAAAUACUAAUGGGAAAGGCUUUCCAGACAAAGGUGUAUUUAAACUGGAUCAAGAGGGAUGAGCUGUUUUCCAGGCAGAGAGAUGUAAAGGCAAGGUGUAAAGGCAGCAUUUAGCUGAGGCACAGGGAUAUCUAUGUGGGGUUGAUGGGAGGAGUUGGGGAUGAUUUAGUUUGAUUAGAUCCUUAAGGGCCUUAUGUGUUACGUUAAGCACCAGGAACCUGGUCCUGUGGGGAACAGAAGAUAUCAUCACUGUCCUUGGAUGCUGUAGUACAAAGGGUCCAACUUCCUUCACUUUCUCCCAGUUUUCCUCAAUUGUUUUCUCUCACCUUUGCUUGUUUUCAACUUUUCCAGUCCAUUUAUUAGAUAUUUUAAUCGCUGAUCUCAGCAAUUAUUUUUAGAAUAUAAGUUUUCAAAGAUAUUCUAUGACUACUACAUAAUUCCAUGUCUGCGAAAUCAUGUGGUGUUUCUAGUGAACAUAAACACAUUUACAGUUAAGGAAAACUUAAAAUAUGUAUCCAAAGAUAAGUUCAAUAGGUUUAAAAACCCAAAAUCUGGCUGGGCGCAGUGGCUCAUGCCUGUAAUCCCAGCACUUUGUGAGGCUGAGGUGGGUGGAUCACCCGAGUUCAGGAGUUUGAAACCAGCCUGGCCAACAUGGUGAAACCCUGUCCCUACUAAAAAUACAAAAAUUAGCUGGGCGUGAUGACAUACGCCUGUAGUCCCAGCUACUCGGGAGGCUAAGGCAGGAGAAUCGCUUGAACCUGGGAGGUGGAGGUUGCAGUGAGCUGAGAUCCUGCCACUGCACUCCAGCCUGGGUGACAGAGCAAGAUUCCGUCUCCAAUAAAUAAAUAGAUACAUAUAUACAUACACACCCAAUAUCUUGUUCUUAUUCUUUUUAAACUAAAAAAAAAUAUACACAUAACUGUAGGAAGCUUUCCUUUUCCUUUCUGAUAGACACCUUUGAAAUAUUAACUUGGUCAGAUUCAACCCUUCCUAUGUUUUUAAGAGUGCUAGCCAAUAUGUAUUUUGCUUG